UAUAACCGGCGAUUUCCGAAUGGGGAAACCCAGUGUGAUUCGUCACACUAUCAUUAACUGAAUCCAUAGGUUAAUGAGGCGAACCGGGGGAACUGAAACAUCUAAGUACCCCGAGGAAAAGAAAUCAACCGAGAUUCCCCCAGUAGCGGCGAGCGAACGGGGAGCAGCCCAGAGCCUGAAUCAGUGUGUGUGUUAGUGGAAGCGUCUGGAAAGGCGCGCGAUACAGGGUGACAGCCCCGUACACAAAAAUGCACAUGCUGUGAGCUCGAUGAGUAGGGCGGGACACGUGGUAUCCUGUCUGAAUAUGGGGGGACCAUCCUCCAAGGCUAAAUACUCCUGACUGACCGAUAGUGAACCAGUACCGUGAGGGAAAGGCGAAAAGAACCCCGGCGAGGGGAGUGAAAAAGAACCUGAAACCGUGUACGUACAAGCAGUGGGAGCACGCUUAGGCGUGUGACUGCGUACCUUUUGUAUAAUGGGUCAGCGACUUAUAUUCUGUAGCAAGGUUAACCGAAUAGGGGAGCCGAAGGGAAACCGAGUCUUAACUGGGCGUUAAGUUGCAGGGUAUAGACCCGAAACCCGGUGAUCUAGCCAUGGGCAGGUUGAAGGUUGGGUAACACUAACUGGAGGACCGAACCGACUAAUGUUGAAAAAUUAGCGGAUGACUUGUGGCUGGGGGUGAAAGGCCAAUCAAACCGGGAGAUAGCUGGUUCUCCCCGAAAGCUAUUUAGGUAGCGCCUCGUGAAUUCAUCUCCGGGGGUAGAGCACUGUUUCGGCAAGGGGGUCAUCCCGACUUACCAACCCGAUGCAAACUGCGAAUACCGGAGAAUGUUAUCACGGGAGACACACGGCGGGUGCUAACGUCCGUCGUGAAGAGGGAAACAACCCAGACCGCCAGCUAAGGUCCCAAAGUCAUGGUUAAGUGGGAAACGAUGUGGGAAGGCCCAGACAGCCAGGAUGUUGGCUUAGAAGCAGCCAUCAUUUAAAGAAAGCGUAAUAGCUCACUGGUCGAGUCGGCCUGCGCGGAAGAUGUAACGGGGCUAAACCAUGCACCGAAGCUGCGGCAGCGACGCUUAUGCGUUGUUGGGUAGGGGAGCGUUCUGUAAGCCUGUGAAGGUGUACUGUGAGGUAUGCUGGAGGUAUCAGAAGUGCGAAUGCUGACAUAAGUAACGAUAAAGCGGGUGAAAAGCCCGCUCGCCGGAAGACCAAGGGUUCCUGUCCAACGUUAAUCGGGGCAGGGUGAGUCGACCCCUAAGGCGAGGCCGAAAGGCGUAGUCGAUGGGAAACAGGUUAAUAUUCCUGUACUUGGUGUUACUGCGAAGGGGGGACGGAGAAGGCUAUGUUGGCCGGGCGACGGUUGUCCCGGUUUAAGCGUGUAGGCUGGUUUUCCAGGCAAAUCCGGAAAAUCAAGGCUGAGGCGUGAUGACGAGGCACUACGGUGCUGAAGCAACAAAUGCCCUGCUUCCAGGAAAAGCCUCUAAGCAUCAGGUAACAUCAAAUCGUACCCCAAACCGACACAGGUGGUCAGGUAGAGAAUACCAAGGCGCUUGAGAGAACUCGGGUGAAGGAACUAGGCAAAAUGGUGCCGUAACUUCGGGAGAAGGCACGCUGAUAUGUAGGUGAAGUCCCUCGCGGAUGGAGCUGAAAUCAGUCGAAGAUACCAGCUGGCUGCAACUGUUUAUUAAAAACACAGCACUGUGCAAACACGAAAGUGGACGUAUACGGUGUGACGCCUGCCCGGUGC
Molecule: ribosomal RNA, 1744 nt
Filed under: Escherichia coli
Lineage: Bacteria; Pseudomonadati; Pseudomonadota; Gammaproteobacteria; Enterobacterales; Enterobacteriaceae
Description: partial 23S ribosomal RNA
Rfam family: Bacterial large subunit ribosomal RNA
Source: RNAcentral